GAUGAACGCUGGCGGCGUGCCUAAUACAUGCAAGUCGAGCGAACAGAUGAGGAGCUUGCUCCUCUGACGUUAGCGGCGGACGGGUGAGUAACACGUGGAUAACCUACCUAUAAGACUGGGAUAACUUCGGGAAACCGGAGCUAAUACCGGAUAAUAUAUUGAACCGCAUGGUUCAAUAGUGAAAGACGGUUUUGCUGUCACUUAUAGAUGGAUCCGCGCCGCAUUAGCUAGUUGGUAAGGUAACGGCUUACCAAGGCAACGAUGCGUAGCCGACCUGAGAGGGGACCCGGCCACACGGGAAAGGAAACCCGGUCCAAACCCCCACGGGGGGCAGCAGGGGGGAAUUUGCCGCAAGGGGCGAAAGCCGGACGGGGCAACCCCGCGGGAGGAAGAAAGGUUUUGGGAUCGUAAAACUUUUUUAUUAGGGAAAAAAAAAGGUUAAAUUAACUUUGCCCGUUUUGACGGUCCCUAAUCAAAAAGCCACGGCUAACUACGU
This 496-nucleotide ribosomal RNA is filed under the name uncultured bacterium. RNAcentral describes it as "partial 16S ribosomal RNA". It matches the Rfam family "Bacterial small subunit ribosomal RNA", at positions 28 to 506 of the family's 1533-position model. The record is from RNAcentral.